UACGGAGGGUGCAAGCGUUAAUCGGAAUUACUGGGCGUAAAGGGUGCGUAGGCGGUUGUUUAAGUCUGGUGUGAAAUCUCCCGGCUCAACUGGGAGGGUGCGCCGGAAACUGCAAGGCUGGAGUAUGGGAGAGGUAGGCGGAAUUCCUGGUGUAGCGGUGAAAUGCGUAGAUAUCAGGAGGAACACCUGUGGUGUAGACGGCUUACUGGACCAUGACUGACGCUGAGGCACGAAAGCGUGGGGAGCAAACAGG
This 253-nucleotide ribosomal RNA is filed under the name uncultured bacterium. Its description in RNAcentral is "partial 16S ribosomal RNA". It matches the Rfam family "Bacterial small subunit ribosomal RNA", at positions 524 to 776 of the family's 1533-position model. The record is from RNAcentral.